CGAACGGGUGAGUAACGCGUGAGGAACCUGCCUCAAAGAGGGGGACAACAGUUGGAAACGACUGCUAAUACCGCAUAAGCCCACGGCUCGGCAUCGAGCAGAGGGAAAAGGAGCAAUCCGCUUUGAGAUGGCCUCGCGUCCGAUUAGCUAGUUGGUGAGGUAACGGCCCGCCAAGGCGACGAUCGGUAGCCGGACUGAGAGGUUGAACGGCCACAUUGGGACUGAGACACGGCCCAG
This 237-nucleotide ribosomal RNA is filed under the name uncultured bacterium. RNAcentral's name for it is "partial 16S ribosomal RNA". It matches the Rfam family "Bacterial small subunit ribosomal RNA", at positions 99 to 334 of the family's 1533-position model. The record is from RNAcentral.